UCGUGGAGUGAUUUGUCUGCUUUAUUGCGAUAACGAGCGAGACCUUAACCUGCUAAAUAGCCAGGCUAGCUUUGGCUGGUCGCCGGCUUCUUAGAGGGACUAUCGGCUCAAGCCGAUGGAAGUUUGAGGCAAUAACA
This 137-nucleotide ribosomal RNA is filed under the name uncultured eukaryote. RNAcentral describes it as "partial 18S ribosomal RNA". It matches the Rfam family "Eukaryotic small subunit ribosomal RNA", at positions 1299 to 1458 of the family's 1831-position model. The record is from RNAcentral.